GACGAACGCUGGCGGCGUGCUUAACACAUGCAAGUCGAACGGAAAGGCCCUUCGGGGUACUCGAGUGGCGAACGGGUGAGUAACACGUGGGUGAUCUGCCCUGCACUUUGGGAUAAGCCUGGGAAACUGGGUCUAAUACCGAAUAGGACCACGCGCUUCAUGGUGUGUGGUGGAAAGCUUUUGCGGUGUGGGAUGGGCCCGCGGCCUAUCAGCUUGUUGGUGGGGUAAUGGCCUACCAAGGCGACGACGGGUAGCCGGCCUGAGAGGGUGACCGGCCACACUGGAACUGAGAUACGGCCCAGACUCCUACGGGAGGCAGCAGUGGGGAAUAUUGCACAAUGGGCGCAGCCUGAUGCAGCGACGCCGCGUGAGGGAUGACGGCCUUCGGGUUGUAAACCUCUUUCAAUAGGGACGAAGCGCAAGUGACGGUACCUAGAGAAGAAGCACCGGCCAACUACGUG
RNAcentral lists this ribosomal RNA (461 nucleotides) under uncultured bacterium. RNAcentral describes it as "partial 16S ribosomal RNA". It matches the Rfam family "Bacterial small subunit ribosomal RNA", at positions 28 to 507 of the family's 1533-position model. The record is from RNAcentral.